Molecule: long non-coding RNA, 493 nt
Organism: Bactrocera tryoni
Lineage: Eukaryota; Metazoa; Arthropoda; Insecta; Diptera; Tephritidae
Exons: 2
Source: RefSeq, a predicted model, not a curated record
UUCCUUUUGUCUAUCAUUGUUUAGCUUUAUUUGCUGUUCCAAAAAAUUACAAGCUUGUAGCGGCACCCUUAUUCGAACUCUAUGACAAUUCUCAAGGAUAUGGUCCAAUUAUAUCAUCGCUGCCUCAGGCCUUAUGCAGGUUUAAUUUUAUUUAUAUGUGAAGGAAUGGCGAGUUUUUCGGGACAUAUUAUAAUAGUUAAUCUAAAUAAAUCCACAUUGGUAUUUUACUUAUUUGAAUGUCUUUAUUUAAUACAUUUAUAUUUAGAUGAACCAAAUCUGCAUUAAAUACAAACAUAUUCGUGGAAACCUAAAUAACUGGAUUAAUUAUUUUAAUUAUAUAGACGUUAGACGUCAAUAAAGCAAAUAUUUAUUUUAACUAUAUUUAAACUGCGGUUCCUGUUGUAAUUUAUAUUGACACAUACGUAUAUAUGUAUUCCACGAAUGAAGGUCAUCAGAAAUUCUUAGCAUAAUAAAAUGUGUGAGUGUACACUAA